AAUGGUUUUCAAGUCUAUCAAUGUGUUCCCUAGAGUUCCCUUGACCGCUUCAUUAGGGCUUACUUGUUGUUUGAUGCCCUGCUGAAGUGUUUGGGGGAACUCCUGGGCUCACUUUGAAAUUUUACACAAACAAAUAUAAGUGUGAGAGUAUUGGUUGUGGAUAAUGAACACAAUAUUUUACGUAUAAAUCUAUCAAGGUGUUCCCUAGAGUUCCCUUGACCACUUCAUGAGGGCUUACUUUGUUGUUUGAAGCCCUAUUGAAGUGUUUGGGGGAACUCCCGGGUUCACUUUGAAAAUUACACAAACAAGUAGAAGUGCAAGAGUA
Molecule: long non-coding RNA, 325 nt
Organism: Solanum verrucosum
Lineage: Eukaryota; Viridiplantae; Streptophyta; Magnoliopsida; Solanales; Solanaceae
Exons: 3
Source: RefSeq, a predicted model, not a curated record